RNAcentral lists this ribosomal RNA (378 nucleotides) under uncultured eukaryote. RNAcentral's name for it is "SSU rRNA". It matches the Rfam family "Eukaryotic small subunit ribosomal RNA", at positions 587 to 972 of the family's 1831-position model. The record is from RNAcentral.
AGCUCUGUAAGCGUAUACCCAAGUUGUUGCAGUUAAAACGCUCGUAGUCGGAGGUUGGCGGGUGAGACGGGGCGUCUUCGCGGACGCUCCCGGCUUGGCCGCCUUUGUGGAGGGGGGCACAGUGCCGCUUGAGUGCGGUGCUGUUGUCGCUGCCACCGUUUACUGUGAAAAAAUUAGAGUGUUCAAAGCGGGCGUUUGCCAUGAAUACCUUAGCAUGGAAUAAUAGAAUAGGACCUGCGUCCUGUUUUGUUGGUUUGUGAGGACUGGGUAAUGAUUAAGAGGGACGGUUGGGGGCAUUUGUAUUCCGGCGUCAGAGGUGAAAUUCUUGGAUUGUCGGAAGACAAACGGCUGCGAAAGCGUCUGCCAAGGACGUUUUCA